GUGCUUGCUUUGGCAGCAUAAAUGCUAAAGUUGCAAUGAUACAGAGAAGAUUAGCAUGGUCCCUGUUCAGUGAUGUCCUGCAAAUCCAUGAAGUACUCCAUAUUUAA
RNAcentral lists this small nuclear RNA (107 nucleotides) under Castor canadensis (American beaver). The record is from RNAcentral. Lineage: Eukaryota; Metazoa; Chordata; Mammalia; Rodentia; Castoridae.